CUGGAGGUAUCAGAAGUGCGAAUGCUGACAUAAGUAACGAUAAAGCGGGUGAAAAGCCCGCUCGCCGGAAGACCAAGGGUUCCUGUCCAACGUUAAUCGGGGCAGGGUGAGUCGACCCCUAAGGCGAGGCCGAAAGGCGUAGUCGAUGGGAAACAGGUUAAUAUUCCUGUACUUGGUGUUACUGCGAAGGGGGGACGGAGAAGGCUAUGUUGGCCGGGCGACGGUUGUCCCGGUUUAAGCGUGUAGGCUGGUUUUCCAGGCAAAUCCGGAAAAUCAAGGCUGAGGCGUGAUGACGAGGCACUACGGUGCUGAAGCAACAAAUGCCCUGCUUCCAGGAAAAGCCUCUAAGCAUCAGGUAACAUCAAAUCGUACCCCAAACCGACACAGGUGGUCAGGUAGAGAAUACCAAGGCGCUUGAGAGAACUCGGGUGAAGGAACUAGGCAAAAUGGUGCCGUAACUUCGGGAGAAGGCACGCUGAUAUGUAGGUGAAGCGACUUGCUCGUGGAGCUGAAAUCAGUCGAAGAUACCAGCUGGCUGCAACUGUUUAUUAAAAACACAGCACUGUGCAAACACGAAAGUGGACGUAUACGGUGUGACGCCUGCCCGGUGCCGGAAGGUUAAUUGAUGGGGUCAGCGCAAGCGAAGCUCUUGAUCGAAGCCCCGGUAAACGGCGGCCGUAACUAUAACGGUCCUAAGGUAGCGAAAUUCCUUGUCGGGUAAGUUCCGACCUGCACGAAUGGCGUAAUGAUGGCCAGGCUGUCUCCACCCGAGACUCAGUGAAAUUGAACUCGCUGUGAAGAUGCAGUGUACCCGCGGCAAGACGGAAAGACCCCGUGAACCUUUACUAUAGCUUGACACUGAACAUUGAGCCUUGAUGUGUAGGAUAGGUGGGAGGCUUUGAAGUGUGGACGCCAGUCUGCAUGGAGCCGACCUUGAAAUACCACCCUUUAAUGUUUGAUGUUCUAACGUUGACCCGUAAUCCGGGUUGCGGACAGUGUCUGGUGGGUAGUUUGACUGGGGCGGUCUCCUCCUAAAGAGUAACGGAGGAGCACGAAGGUUGGCUAAUCCUGGUCGGACAUCAGGAGGUUAGUGCAAUGGCAUAAGCCAGCUUGACUGCGAGCGUGACGGCGCGAGCAGGUGCGAAAGCAGGUCAUAGUGAUCCGGUGGUUCUGAAUGGAAGGGCCAUCGCUCAACGGAUAAAAGGUACUCCGGGGAUAACAGGCUGAUACCGCCCAAGAGUUCAUAUCGACGGCGGUGUUUGGCACCUCGAUGUCGGCUCAUCACAUCCUGGGGCUGAAGUAGGUCCCAAGGGUAUGGCUGUUCGCCAUUUAAAGUGGUACGCGAGCUGGGUUUAGAACGUCGUGAGACAGUUCGGUCCCUAUCUGCCGUGGGCGCUGGAGAACUGAGGGGGGCUGCUCCUAGUACGAGAGGACCGGAGUGGACGCAUCACUGGUGUUCGGGUUGUCAUGCCAAUGGCACUGCCCGGUAGCUAAAUGCGGAAGAGAUAAGUGCUGAAAGCAUCUAAGCACGAAACUUGCCCCGAGAUGAGUUCUCCCUGACUCCUUGAGAGUCCUGAAGGAACGUUGAAGACGACGACGUUGAUAGGCCGGGUGUGUAAGCG
This 1622-nucleotide ribosomal RNA is filed under the name Escherichia coli. Its description in RNAcentral is "partial 23S ribosomal RNA". It matches the Rfam family "Bacterial large subunit ribosomal RNA", at positions 1273 to 2875 of the family's 2925-position model. Lineage: Bacteria; Pseudomonadati; Pseudomonadota; Gammaproteobacteria; Enterobacterales; Enterobacteriaceae. The record is from RNAcentral.